Molecule: ribosomal RNA, 497 nt
Filed under: uncultured bacterium
Lineage: Bacteria
Description: partial 16S ribosomal RNA
Rfam family: Bacterial small subunit ribosomal RNA
Source: RNAcentral
GAUGAACGCUGGCGGCGUGCCUAAUACAUGCAAGUCGAGCGAACAGACGAGGAGCUUGCUCCUCUGACGUUAGCGGCGGACGGGUGAGUAACACGUGGAUAACCUACCUAUAAGACUGGGAUAACUUCGCGAAACCGGAGCUAAUACCGGAUAAUAUAUUGAACCGCAUGGUUCAAUAGUGAAAGACGGUUUUGCUGUCACUUAUAGAUGGAUCCGCGCCGCAUUAGCUAGUUGGUAAGGUAACGGCUUACCAAGGCGACGAUGCGUAGCCGACCUGAGAGGGUGAUCGGCCACACUGGAACUGAGACACGGUCCAGACUCCUAAGGGAGGCAGCAGUAGGGAAUCUUCCGCAAUGGGCGAAAGCCUGACGGAGCAACGCCGCGUGAGUGAUGAAGGUCUUCGGAUCGUAAAACUCUGUUAUUAGGGAAGAACAAAUGUGUAAGUAACUAUGCACGUCUUGACGGUACCUAAUCAGAAAGCCACGGCUAACUACGUG